This 497-nucleotide ribosomal RNA is filed under the name uncultured bacterium. Its description in RNAcentral is "partial 16S ribosomal RNA". It matches the Rfam family "Bacterial small subunit ribosomal RNA", at positions 28 to 507 of the family's 1533-position model. The record is from RNAcentral.
GAUGAACGCUGGCGGCGUGCCUAAUACAUGCAAGUCGAGCGAACAGACGAGGAGCUUGCUGCUCUGACGUUAGCGGCGGACGGGUGAGUAACACGUGGAUAACCUACCUAUAAGACUGGGAUAACUUCGGGAAACCGGAGAUAAUACCGGAUAAUAUUUUGAACCGCAUGGUUCAAUAGUGAAAGACGGUCUUGCUGUCACUUAUAGAUGGAUCCGCGCUGCAUUAGCUAGUUGGUAAGGUAACGGCUUACCAAGGCAACGAUGCGUAGCCGACCUGAGAGGGUGAUCGGCCACACUGGAACUGAGACACGGUCCAGACUCCUACGGGAGGCAGCAGUAGGGAAUCUUCCGCAAAGGGCGAAAGCCUGACGGAGCAACGCCGCGUGAGUGAUGAAGGUCUUCGGAUCGUAAAACUCUGUUAUUAGGGAAGAACAUAUGUGUAAGUAACUGUGCACAUCUUGACGGUACCUAAUCAGAAAGCCACGGCUAACUACGUG